CCUACGGGGUGCAGCAGUGAGGAAUAUUGGUCAAUGGGCGCGAGCCUGAACCAGCCAAGUAGCGUGAAGGAUGACUGCCCUACGGGUUGUAAACUUCUUUUAUAAAGGAAUAAAGUGAGGCACGUGUGCCUUUUUGUCUGUACUUUAUGAAUAAGGAUCGGCUAACCUCGCGCCAGCAGCGCCGGUAAUAUGGAGGGUCGGAGCGUUAUCCGGAUUUAUUGGGUUUAAAGGGAGCGUAGAAGGGUUGUUAAGUCAGUUGUGAAAGUUUGCGGCUCAACCGUAAAAUGGCAUUUGAUACUGGAAGACUUGAGUGCAGUAGAGGAAGGCGGAAUUCGUGGUGUAGCGGUGAAAUGCGUAGAGAUCACGAAGAACUCCAAUUGCGAAGGCAGCUUACUAGACUGCCACUGACAUUGAUGCGCGAAAGUGUGGGUAUCAAACAGGAUUAGAUACCCGUGUAGUC
RNAcentral lists this ribosomal RNA (460 nucleotides) under uncultured bacterium. RNAcentral describes it as "partial 16S ribosomal RNA". It matches the Rfam family "Bacterial small subunit ribosomal RNA", at positions 338 to 795 of the family's 1533-position model. The record is from RNAcentral.